UCUUUACUGAACUGAAAUCCUCUGAUCAUGGCAGCGCUGCCAGCAAAGUCAUUUCAGUUCUCUGGGUACCGGUCUGGUGGGCUUCCUUGACAGUCCAUUUCUGGGUAUUCUGCAUCAAGCUGAUGCCUUAUCCAUGCUGACUGAUGGUCCUUCCUUGCACUGGAAAGUGGAAGAGUGCCUGGCAACGGUGACCCAUGUGCUGGUAACUUCCUAACUGGACUUCUGUGACGCACGCUACGUGGGACUGCCCUUGAAGACGGUCCAGAUACUUCAGUUGGUUCAGAGCUACCAGGUUGUUAACAGGGACUGGCAGCCUCACUGGUUUCACUGUGACGAUUUUGGAGGAAGUGGUAGAAGGAAUGCAACUUUGCAGCCAAACAAGGCAUGACAUCAAGUUAAGGGCUCUUUUCCUCCUGAUGGUUCAAAUAAAAAACAGGAAGAGGCCGGGAGAAGAAGAGCAGUGCCAGGGUAGGGAUAACGUGCUUAAUCGCUCCCUCUCUGGAUGUUUCCUUAGAAUCACCGCUCCUGUUGAUUUUCACCAUGCAUCUUUCAAUGAUUCAACACAUCUUUGUAUGAGCAGCUGGUAUGGAAGCUCAAUUGGUAAUGCAUUGCACACUAAGUGACACAGAAUGGUUCGUGCGUCUUAUUUAUUUUUUCUGGACCAGGGUGGGCAGACUUCAGGCUUGUACACUGUCAUCAUCACCACCACCCCCUCUACUGUCAUGAAAACCAAGAUCUCCCAAAAGAAGCAUGGUGGAAAAGACACGCUCCUCGAAGGAAAGAAUUCUGAGCCCAGAAUUGGGAUGCAUUUUACAAGCUUUCUACAAGAAUCCAAUCUGGGUUGAUCUGGGGGCAGGGUAAGCUUGGUAUUGCUAUUGUUAAGCAGAAUGUGGAGGGGGAGCAGAAUUGGUGCAAGGCUGCCAAAAUGUUCACCAGAUAGUUUUCAGGUGAAAAAAAGAUACAGAACAGCAGAAGAAUACUGCUGGAUGAGACUUCAAGUGCAUCAAGCUGAGCAUUCUGUUCACACAAUGAUCCACCAACAGCCAAUGGGAAACAGAGUUGGAGGAGGGAAUGUAAUCAUCUCACAAGAACUUAAUUUGCAUUGUUAAACCAAUAUGUGACUCAAACUCAGUUAUCCUCUCAAUGCACCCUUUUCCAAAUUUUUAAAUGGCGGUUUCUGAUUAAAAAUGCACACACAAAUG
Molecule: long non-coding RNA, 1202 nt
Organism: Varanus komodoensis (Komodo dragon)
Lineage: Eukaryota; Metazoa; Chordata; Lepidosauria; Squamata; Varanidae
Exons: 3
Source: RefSeq, a predicted model, not a curated record